UCCCAGGCUGGAGUGCAGUGUCAUGAGCUUGGUUCACUACAGCCUCCAUCUUCUGUGCUUAAGAACCCUUCCCUCUCAACCUCCAGGGUAGCUGAGACUACAGGCAACAUUCGAAACCCAGGUGCCACUCCUUCAGGAAGGUACCUUCAAGCUCCAAGGACUCUUAUCCUCUUUCUCCUUCCCCACUACCUAGUCAUUAGAGCGUCAGCAUCCCCUUCUUGAAAGGAAGAUGCCUGUUUUUCACAUAUCCCAGAAAGCCCCAUUUUAGGACAGCAUUUAGCAGAAUAUAUUCAGGACCCCACUAACCUUUUCGGAAGACAUGAAUUCCAGAUGAUAUAAGGCUCCAUCAGGAACUUUGCAGGACCGUGCACUCUGUUGAUACUCACAUGGUGGAAUUAUAUUGCCCUUGGCCAACCUAAAGCCAUCAAGAUAGCAGGUUUGGAAUAAUUCACUGUUGAAGUCUUCUUGAGCUGAGCAGUCAUGUGAGCUUGGAAGAUGAUCCCUCUCCAGCUGAUCCUUCAGGUCAGGCCAUCAUCUACAUCUGGAUUCCUGACCCAGAGAAACUAUGAGUAAUGUAUGCUGCUUUUGAGCCACUAAGCUAUAUAGUAAUAGGCUAUGCUUCAAUAAACAAUAAUACACUUGA
Molecule: long non-coding RNA, 643 nt
Filed under: Pan troglodytes (chimpanzee)
Lineage: Eukaryota; Metazoa; Chordata; Mammalia; Primates; Hominidae
Description: lincRNA
Source: RNAcentral